GUUAUUAUUAUCCACACAAUAGACAAUAGCUCUUUGUCAUGAAGUGGGCCAGCAUUACAGGCUCUGCCCCCCCCAGUGUUUGUUAUUCCCAGCUGAUUUCAGGUCCUCAAUGUCAUAUGGUAAUAACAGGUUCUUCUCUUUUGGUAUUUCAGUAAAUGACAAGAACUCAUCACAAUACAUACCAGUGUUGUCCCAGUCUGGACUGACGCUACCAGUCCUGAUUCCUGUACUGAUCCCAGUGCUGUUAAUGUGGUAAGAUUGUAAGUAAUGGACUGGGUGUGGCCUUUUAAUAAUAAUUAUAUUAAUAUAUACAUGUAAACUAUUCCAAGUUUAUACUGUUGAUACUGUCAUUGAUUAAUAAUACUAAUGGAGGGACUGAGGCAGCUGCUGCUGCUGCUGGUAGUGGAUUUGAACAAGUAGCAGAUCAAAUAAUAAACCUGGAAACCAACCUGGCUAAAGUAUGCACACACGGCGGUAGCCUAUAUGUAGGAU
This is a long non-coding RNA of Amphimedon queenslandica, 492 nucleotides long. RefSeq lists it as uncharacterized. The transcript is spliced from 4 exons. The record is from RefSeq and is a predicted model, not a curated record. NCBI's taxonomy places the organism in Eukaryota, Metazoa, Porifera, Demospongiae, Haplosclerida, Niphatidae.